AACGGAAAGGCCCAGCUUGCUGGGUGCUCGAGUGGCGAACGGGUGAGUAACACGUGGGUGAUCUGCCUCUAACUUCGGGAUAAGCUUGGGAAACUGGGUCUAAUACCGGAUAGGACAAUCGUUUAGUGUCGGUUGUGGAAAGUUUUUUCGGUUAGGGAUGAGCCCGCGGCCUAUCAGCUUGUUGGUGGGGUAAUGGCCUACCAAGGCGUCGACGGGUAGCCGGCCUGAGAGGGUGGACGGCCACAUUGGGACUGAGAUACGGCCCAGACUCCUACGGGAGGCAGCAGUGGGGAAUAUUGCACAAUGGGCGCAAGCCUGAUGCAGCGACGCCGCGUGGGGGAUGACGGCCUUCGGGUUGUAAACCUCUUUCGACAGGGACGAAGCUUUGGUGACGGUACCUGUAUAAGAAGCACCGGCUAACUACGUGCCAGCAGCCGCGGUAAUACGUAGGGUGCGAGCGUUGUCCGGAAUUACUGGGCGUAAAGAGCUCGUAGGUGGUUUGUCGCGUCGUCUGUGAAAUUCCGGGGCUUAACUUCGGGCCUGCAGGCGAUACGGGCAUAACUUGAGUGCUGUAGGGGAGACUGGAAUUCCUGGUGUAGCGGUGGAAUGCGCAGAUAUCAGGAGGAACACCGAUGGCGAAGGCAGGUCUCUGGGCAGUAACUGACGCUGAGGAGCGAAAGCAUGGGGAGCGAAUAGGAUUAGAUACCUUGGUAGUCCAUGCCGUAAACGGUGGGCGCUAGGUGUAGGGGUCUUCCACGACUUCUGUGCCGUAGCUAACGCAUUAAGCGCCCCGCCUGGGGAGUACGGCCGCAAGGCUAAAACUCAAAGGAAUUGACGGGGGCCCGCACAACCGGCGGAACAUGUGGAUUAAUACCAUGCAACGCGAAGAACCUUACCUGGGCUUGACAUAUACAGGACUGGG
RNAcentral lists this ribosomal RNA (922 nucleotides) under uncultured bacterium. Its description in RNAcentral is "bacterial SSU rRNA". It matches the Rfam family "Bacterial small subunit ribosomal RNA", at positions 65 to 1000 of the family's 1533-position model. The record is from RNAcentral.